RNAcentral lists this non-coding RNA (31 nucleotides) under Homo sapiens (human). Lineage: Eukaryota; Metazoa; Chordata; Mammalia; Primates; Hominidae. The record is from RNAcentral.
UCCCACUGACGAUACAACCUUGAUAGAGGGC